Cavia porcellus (domestic guinea pig) is the source of this 2342-nucleotide long non-coding RNA. RefSeq lists it as uncharacterized. The record is from RefSeq and is a predicted model, not a curated record. NCBI's taxonomy places the organism in Eukaryota, Metazoa, Chordata, Mammalia, Rodentia, Caviidae. The transcript is spliced from 2 exons.
AUCGCUCUACGCCCCAUGAUCCAUCUCUCGAGGCGACGGCGAGGACUUCGCCGCCCUCUCGCCCCUCCCCCGAGCCCCCUGCCUGCCCGCCCGCGCGCAUGCCCCGCGGCCCCAGCCCCAGGCCCCCCGAGGCACCCCGCGGGGCGUCCCGUGGGCGUCCCGCCCCGCGCGCCGGGUGCGCUACGCGAGAGCGAGUGCCGGCGAGGUCGGGACUACUUUCCCGCGCGCGGAGGAUUACAUCCCCUUUGAAUGGGCUCGAUACAAAGAGGGGAAACUAAUUGGAGAAACUAAUUGCGCCCCCGCCUUUCCCAAGAGACUAAGGCGUGCGCGGGGCCGGGGAGCCGCGGGGACGGGGCGCCAGGAGGCCGGAUCCCGGGAAAGCAGGGCUGUUGAGCUCGUUGGGGGGAGGGGGUCUCCGGAGGUCCCGAGGAACUGCGGGGAGCAAGAGGCAGGGGCCGCCUGUCGCGAGCUGGGUGGAUCCAGCACAAAACCGUCAUAAUUAACUUCACUAAAUGACCUCCACGCUUCUGCUUCAGUCUAAGCUUGAACAAGGCCGAGAAGAGGAGCCCUGCCCCCACCAACCUCAGGGGUUCUCCCAGACUUCCCUUCAAAGGGUGCUCCAUCCUACAGACUCCAGCCGCUGAAGCUAUGCGCCCCUUGACAACGCUGCCCGCCAGCCGCCUUGGCAGCACCCAAGGGUGGGAGCCAGGAAGGGGGCCACUGACUCAGGGAUGGGGAGCCCCGCCCCACUCGUUCCUGUCACCAAGAUCUACCCCAGACAGGAGAGAUGGACCUAUGAGAGCAGGAACAGGCAGGCCCAUCACCGCCAACACACACACACACACAGUACCCAGAGCUGGAGCUCAAGGCCGCUUCCUGCUGGGUUGUAACUGUGUGUGCCUCAUUGGACUAAAUGACCUGCCGCCCGUCCUUCUUUCCUCUUCCCUUCCUUCCUUUCCUUCUUCUCCUUCCUUCCUUCCCUCCUCCCAAUGAUGAUGAAUUUUAUUCCUGAAUCCCCAAAGCCCGGCCUUUUUCAUUUCUUUGAACAAAUGCACACCUAACAGGCAACACACCUAACCGCUCCAGUUAGAACUCAGUGACAUGUACAUUUCCCGUUAGCCUGUGAACUUUCAGCAGCAUCCCCCAUAAAAUGCAGGAAGUGUCUCCCACUUCCGGAUCCCACGGACUUUUGUAGAGCACACCUCUCCAGCCCUCCCUGUCUGUCACUGAGAAGGGAGCCUGAAAGAAGCCCUUUUUCCCAUUGCUGGGGUGGGUGUCCACACACAGCCCUUUGUGUGUCGUUUUUGUGCUGAGACAGGUUGUAAGUUGCCCGGUCCUGCCCCAAACUCACAGUCCUGCCGUGGCAUUCCCCAGUAGCUGUGAGAACAGCAGUUGCCGUACCCAUACCCCAACUACACAUGACUCACUGAGCAGAUGUAAACUGGCGCUGGCACCCAGGCUGCCUGCAGCCUGCCCAGCUUUCCGUCUUCUCUCCUUGCUCCCGUUGUGGCCCCUCACCCCGUCCCCAGCUUGUGACCACCUCUCAUUUCGCUCUCUUCCCUGCUUGACACAAAUCCUGGCCUGGCAUCCACUCUCCCUUCACCCUGCACCCUGGCACAGAGCCCCGCCGCCUUCAUGCAUUAUCAGCUGCCUGGGAUGACCCUGGGUCAGGGUUUCCCCUCCUGCUGCUCAGAGACCCAUCUGCACCUGCCUCUCCCUCCAAGACUCCUCACCUCUGUUCUUGCUGGGGUCACAUGGCCUGCGGCCAGGCCAGGCCAUGUGUCCCGGUGCCACCAAGCCCCUCAGCAGCACCUGAGUAGGCCACCAGCAACUCCCUCCCUCCCUGGAUGCCAAGACCCUGUCCAGUCCUGUCCCUCUGCUCACCCUGGACUCCUUCACUGUCUCCACCCCUCCUUCCACCCUAUGGUUUCUGGGUUCCCGCUCACUCGGCCUUUACUGCUUCUCUGUGCCCAGAGCAUAGGUGAUGCUCAAUAGAUAGUUGUUAAGGGGGCUGGAGAUUUAGCUCAGAGGCAUAAGUGCCUGCGUUGCAAGCAGGCAGUCGUGAAUUCGAUCCCCGGUAACGAUAAAAAGGAAAAAGACCAAAAAAAGAAUAGUUAAGGUAGGUAUACUACUGAUUUCUCUGGGUUCACUGAAGAGAAAGAUUUGUGCCAAUAUUGUUAAGCCAGUUGAAUGCAGAUGUCUUGUGCUCGGGGUGAGUGGUUUGGGAUGACAGUGUGCAGCAUAUGUACCAUUGUUGCCCCCAAUUGUCUGUUUGGAAAUUUUUAGGGGUUUUUUGGCUCUUUUGUUUUCUCCUUGAAAUAAAAUGGAUUUGGGAAAAAAGA